UACAGAGGGUGCAAGCGUUGUUCGGAAUUACUGGGCGUAAAGGGUGCGCAGGCGGCCGUGUGUGUCAGAUGUGAAAGCCCGGGGCUUAACCCCGGAAUUGCGUCUGAAACUACAUGGCUAGAGCAUUGGAGAGGGUAGCAGAAUUCAUGGUGUAGCAGUGAAAUGCGUAGAUAUCAUGAGGAAUACCAGAGGCGAAGGCGGCUACCUGGACAAUUGCUGACGCUCAGGCACGAAAGCGUGGGGAGCAAAAGGG
Molecule: ribosomal RNA, 253 nt
Filed under: uncultured bacterium
Lineage: Bacteria
Description: partial 16S ribosomal RNA
Rfam family: Bacterial small subunit ribosomal RNA
Source: RNAcentral